UCAAGUGAAGAACGCCACAGUGUUUUUUUUUUUACAUUUUACCUCAUUGUUGUUAAAUUAAUUUAUCAAUUGUUGUCAAAAAUGCUCAUUAGAUGCAAAGAUUUCACUAAAUUAAUAAUUUUCAAGAACCGAUUCUCUUCAUUUCAGCUUUUAUCUUUGUGACAAAAAGCUGCAAUGAACAUGAAUCAAUUUUACAAAUUUUUUUUUACAAAAUUUUCAUAUUUAACGUAAAGUUUUUCUAGUUUGGCAUUAUAAUAUCAUUUGUUUUUGAUAAAAUUGUAAGAAAUAUCAAAAAAUUUUACUAAAAUUAUUAUCUCAGUAUAUUCAACAUUUGAGGUUAGGUGAUGAAAAUGAUCUUGGGCGUCAAUUUGAGUUGCAAAAAGUGUUAGCUACCGCGUUCUAUAACCGAAUAAUUAGGUCAGUAAAAAGUAUUAAAAGUAUGUUUAUUUACAGUAAAUAAUAAAAAAUCAGUGUUUUGAAAAUGUGUUUAUAUUAAUCGCGAUCUAAAACCGAAAAAUUAGGACAGUAAAAAGUAAAAAAAAAAAUUUAUUAUUUUAACAGUGAAUAAUGGAAAUAAUAUAUAUUCAAAAAAAUCUACGCAUUAUAUCAAUUAAUUUUGGAAAAAGGUUAUAAGGUUGGAAAAAAAUACUCAACUCCUAUUUCGAAAUUUGAUUCAAAAUCCGUAUAAUUCUUCGAUAGAACAUAAUUUCCAGAUUUCACCAUGAAUUCUUUGAAACCAUCGACAUCUGAUAAUUCUUUGGAAUAAAAUUUGACAAUAAUUGUGGCUUUACCGG
Molecule: long non-coding RNA, 794 nt
Organism: Leptopilina boulardi
Lineage: Eukaryota; Metazoa; Arthropoda; Insecta; Hymenoptera; Figitidae
Exons: 3
Source: RefSeq, a predicted model, not a curated record